Long non-coding RNA from Mustela erminea (ermine), 1422 nucleotides. RefSeq lists it as uncharacterized. The transcript has 3 exons. The record is from RefSeq and is a predicted model, not a curated record. Lineage: Eukaryota; Metazoa; Chordata; Mammalia; Carnivora; Mustelidae.
CUGAGCUGAAAUCAACAGUUGGAGCCUCGACCGACUGAACCCCCAGGCGCCCCCAUGUACUUUGUAAGUUCACAAAGUAUAGGAUCUAGAGGUUGGUGUAAUUCUAUCUUAAAGUACCGCUGAACUUCAUAAUAUGUGAAGUUUCUGGGCUGUAAUGGAUGUCCCUUUGUUGCCGGAGGGAACCUGGAGGCCCCCUGUCGGCCCAGGUUGCUAUUAUGGAGGGACAGGUGACUUCACCCCAGCACGGUCUGGACCAUCUGCGGGCAAGGGGAAAACUCCUCACCUACGGUCUCCGUAAGGCUCACCUGCAAAUAUUGGACUUUCACUUCACUGUGAGCAGCUUUAUUGUACUUUGUGUCAGAAGGAAUGUCCAGCCUUUGCAACUGGACUGCCUGGGUUUGAAUUCUCGACAAUCACUGCUCAGCCUGGCUUGUUUGCUGAUCUGCAGGAUUCCGUGCACAAGGCUGGGGGGAAAGUGGGCCUAUCAGUGUCAAGGGCUUAGAACAGAAUGUGGCAGGUGCUCAGGCACCUCCCGGGUCUUUCCUUGGUCCUGUGCUGGGCCACACCCGGUCCUCACCGCCCGCCCUUCAGUGGGUUUAGAGAAGAAUCAAGACAACCCUAAACCUUUCCAGCACAUUCCGUGAUCCAUUUCGAUUUGCUCUGCCGUUGCUAGCAAACCGGCUAUAAAUAGAAGUUUGUGUGUGUGCAGUCCUCUCGCUGCCGCGUGACCCCCGGGUAGCUCAGGUGACACAGUGACCCAGGGCCAGCCCUCGUCACCACACGGUCACCUCCUAACAAGGCCAGCAGACACGGUCAAGACUCAGACUUCCAGCGCCAGGUCCUGCUGUAGCCACGGCUGCCUCGCUCUGACGGUUUCAGAAAUGUCGACGCCGCGGCCCGCCGGCAGGAAGGUCUAUGAUUUCCGGUGGUUUGGUUCUGAAGAAGAGGAGCCUGCCCUCGGACAGACGGCUCCUCCUGAAAGCCGGUGCUCGACGACCAGUGUUUCAGCAGAGUGCAAGGCCUCCGUGCCACGGCUGCGUGGCGAGGGUGACGUGAGGUCCAAGAAGCCACGGCGCGCUCAGUGGACAGUGACUGCCCCAUGGGGCUUACCGGGUGGGGCAGCUGGCGAUGGUACUUUGGCCCCUCUUGGGACGCUGACCUUGAGGAGCAUUCCUCCAUGUGGGGUCUGUUUCCCCAUCCCCCGCUUUCGACGCCCUCUGGCUGAACAAAGGUAAGCCAGACGACACCCCCAGGCCCCAAAGCAGGAUGUUAGCCUCCUGCUGAAACAAUAUUUCAGGACCGAGGACAGGUUGCAUUUUUCCCUGUGACCAAAGACUUGGUUUGAACAAGUAGCCUUGAUUUCUUUCUGCCUUUUUUUUUUUUUUUAAAGACUGUUUAUUUGAGAGACAGAGAGACAUUGAG